Molecule: long non-coding RNA, 885 nt
Organism: Fundulus heteroclitus (mummichog)
Lineage: Eukaryota; Metazoa; Chordata; Actinopteri; Cyprinodontiformes; Fundulidae
Exons: 4
Source: RefSeq, a predicted model, not a curated record
AUGUGGGCAAGCUAGAGUUUCAACAGUGAUAAACAUUAAAAUGUAGGCGAAAUCAGCCUCACUAAGAACCAUUGUUGAUGUGCUGGCCCGUGUUCAGGGGGACUAAAAAGCAGGUGGAUGUCUAUUUUAAGUUUUAGUUUCAGCCCUGCAAUUAAACUGUUAUUGGAAGGUUGGUUAUAUUUCCCCUUUUUGUGGUCAUCUAGUCAGAAUAACUGGAGAGCUGCACGCCUCAUGUUGAGCGCCACCUAGUGGCCAAAUGCCUCUGAGCCUUCACGCGUUGGUUCUGCACAUCAGCAAUUGUUUUGUGCUUUCAGCAUUUUUUAUUUUGAUCUUCUCGCAUUUCUCGAUGACCACAGAGAAGAACAGAUGAACUUUUCCAUAAGAUUCUGGCUGCUUGUCACUGAUUCCUGUCUGAAAAACAGAUCACCACCCAGCUGGGCCAGCACUGGAGGAGGAAUUUGCUCCAGGAAGACAUUUUGAUCCCACUCUAUGCAUGGCAGUGAUGUUGGACUGUGAGGAUGAGAUAUCCACAAGACUCAUCAGCAAAUGUAACUGCAGUCUUCUGCAGUCCAUCUUUGUACUACAUUAUUCUGUAUCACCCUCCUGAGGAAGAGGACACCCUGAAGCCUCCUUCUCUUCUGCAGAGCCUCUCUGUUGAUGGUCCAGAAAGCUGCUCUGUCCCCAGUGUCCUGUCUGUGCUGCCAUUCUGAUGCAGAGAUGAAGGCUGAUUCUGGUCACCAUUGCUAACACAAGCAGACAAACACUUCAGGCACAUCUGCUCCCGGUUUAUCCCGAUCAGUCUGAUGAUUACCAAAAAUCAAGUUUUUGGGUAAAAAGAUGUUCCGUGUGUUUUUUUUCUUUGUAAAUAAAAUAAAACUUUUUAGC